This 136-nucleotide non-coding RNA is filed under the name human gut metagenome. RNAcentral's name for it is "SAM riboswitch (S box leader)". It matches the Rfam family "SAM riboswitch aptamer (S box leader)". From Rfam's summary of the family: The SAM riboswitch is found upstream of a number of genes which code for proteins involved in methionine or cysteine biosynthesis in Gram-positive bacteria. The SAM riboswitch acts at the level of transcription termination control. The record is from RNAcentral.
CUUAUCAAGAGCGGCUUCUGGCGUAAUGCGGGGGACUGGUCCCUAUGAAGCCCGGCAACCUAUCCUGCUGAUGUGCUUUCUGCACGGAGGGAAAAGGUGCUACUUCCUGCGGCGGUGUAACUGCCGAAAGAUGAGG